UUUCCGUAGGUGAACCUGCGGAAGGAUCAUUAGUGAACGCCCUCACGGGCUUAUACCUAUUCCAAACCUCUGUGAAUCGUGCCCUUCGGGGCUAUUUUUCAAACAUGGUGUACUGAACGUCAUAUAUCAAAACAAAACAAAACUUUCAACAACGGAUCUCUUGGCUCUC
This 169-nucleotide unclassified non-coding RNA is filed under the name plant metagenome. RNAcentral describes it as "partial contains small subunit ribosomal RNA, internal transcribed spacer 1, and 5.8S ribosomal RNA". The record is from RNAcentral.